RNAcentral lists this ribosomal RNA (497 nucleotides) under uncultured bacterium. RNAcentral describes it as "partial 16S ribosomal RNA". It matches the Rfam family "Bacterial small subunit ribosomal RNA", at positions 28 to 507 of the family's 1533-position model. The record is from RNAcentral.
GAUGAACGCUGGCGGCGUGCCUAAUACAUGCAAGUCGAGCGAACGGACGAGAAUCUUGCUUCUCUGAUGUUAGCGGCGGACGGGUGAGUAACACGUGGAUAACCUACCUAUAAGACUGAGAUAACUUCGGGAAACCGUAGCUAACACCGGAUAAUAUUUUGAACCGCAUGGUUCAAAAGUGAAAGACGGUCUUGCUGUCACUUAUAGAUGGAUCCGCGCUGCAUUAGCUAGUUGGUACGGUAACGGCUUACCAAGGCGACGAUGCGUAGCCGACCUGAGAGGGUGAUCGGCCACACUGGAACUGAGACACGGUCCAGACUCCUACGGGAGGCAGCAGUAGGGAAUCUUCCGCAAUGGGCGAAAGCCUGACGCAGCAACGCCGCGUGUGUGAUGAAGGUCUUCGGAUCGUAAAACUCUGUUAUUAGGGAAGAACAUAUGUGUAAGUAACUGUGCACAUCUUGACGGUAACUAAUCAGAAAGCCCCGGCUAACUACGUG